This 465-nucleotide ribosomal RNA is filed under the name uncultured Klebsiella sp. RNAcentral's name for it is "bacterial SSU rRNA". It matches the Rfam family "Bacterial small subunit ribosomal RNA", at positions 338 to 795 of the family's 1533-position model. The record is from RNAcentral. Lineage: Bacteria; Pseudomonadati; Pseudomonadota; Gammaproteobacteria; Enterobacterales; Enterobacteriaceae.
CCUACGGGUGGCAGCAGUGGGGAAUAUUGCACAAUGGGCGCAAGCCUGAUGCAGCCAUGCCGCGUGUGUGAAGAAGGCCUUCGGGUUGUAAAGCACUUUCAGCGGGGAGGAAGGCGUUAAGGUUAAUAACCUUGGCGAUUGACGUUACCCGCAGAAGAAGCACCGGCUAACUCCGUGCCAGCAGCCGCGGUAAUACGGAGGGUGCAAGCGUUAAUCGGAAUUACUGGGCGUAAAGCGCACGCAGGCGGUCUGUCAAGUCGGAUGUGAAAUCCCCGGGCUCAACCUGGGAACUGCAUUCGAAACUGGCAGGCUAGAGUCUUGUAGAGGGGGGUAGAAUUCCAGGUGUAGCGGUGAAAUGCGUAGAGAUCUGGAGGAAUACCGGUGGCGAAGGAGGCCCCCUGGACAAAGACUGACGCUCAGGUGCGAAAGCGUGGGGAGCAAACAGGAUUAGAUACCCGAGUAGUC